CGUGUUAAGUGGAAAAGGAUGUGGGGAUUCUAAGACAACUAGGACGUUGGCUUAGAAGCAGCCAUUCAUUGAAAGAGUGCGUAAUAGCUCACUAGUCGAGAGUCCCUGCGCCGAAAAUGUCCGGGGCUGAAACACGACACCGAAGCUUAGGAAUGUGUAAACAUUGGUAGAGGAGCAUUGCUGGCGGGAUGAAGCCAUACCGUAAGGAGUGGUGGACUGCCAGGAAGAGAGAAUGCCGGAAUGAGUAGCGAGAUGAAGGUGAGAAUCCUUCAGGCCGAAUAUCUAAGGUUUCCAGAGUAAAGCUGAUCUGCUCUGGGUAAGUCGGGACCUAAGGCGAGGUCGAAAGACGUAGUCGAUGGAUAACAGGUUGAAAUUCCUGUACCGCAUAUAAACAGAACUGUGGGGACACAGACAGGGAAUGGAAUCCGGGAAUGGAAAUCCCGGUGCAAGCGAGGUAGGAGUGCUGUUGGCAAAUCCGCAGCACGAUCUGAAGACGUGACGCGUACCGAACAUAAGUAGGGAAGUCCAGGCCCCUGGCUGUCAAGAAAAGCCGCUAUUGUUUUAUAUGUGCCCGUACCGCAAACCGACACAGGUGGAUGAGGAGAGAAUCCUAAGGCCGACGGGAGAAGCAUUGUUAAGGAACUCGGCAAAAUGACUCCGUAACUUCGGGAGAAGGAGUGCCAGUAAGAUGGCCGCAGAGAAUUGGCCCAAGCAACUGUUUAGCAAAAACACAGGUCUAUGCAAAACCGCAAGGUGAAGUAUAUGGGCUGACGCCUGCCCGGUGCUGGAAGGUUAAGGGGAGAGGUUAGCGCAAGCGAAGCUUUGAACUUAAGCCCCAGUAAACGGCGGCCGUAACUAUAACGGUCCUAAGGUAGCGAAAUUCCUUGUCGGGUAAGUUCCGACCCGCACGAAAGGCGUAAUGAUUUGGGCACUGUCUCAACGAUACACCCGGUGAAAUUGAAAUACCAGUGAAGAUGCUGGUUACCUGCGCCAGGACGGAAAGACCCCAUGGAGCUUUACUCCAGUUUGAUACUGGGAUUCGGCAUGGUAUGUACAGGAUAGGUGGGAGACUGAGAAGGUAUGACGUCAGUUGUACCGGAGUCGCUGUUGGGAUACCACCCUUACCAUGUUGGAUUUCUAACCUGUGGCCGUAAGCCGGUCAGGGGACAAUGUCAGGCGGGGAGUUUGACUGGGGCGGUCGCCUCCGAAAGGGUAUCGGAGGCGCUCAAAGGUUCCCUCAGAAUGGUUGGAAACCAUUCGAAGAGUGCAAAGGCAGAAGGGAGCUUGACUGCGACACCGACGGGUGGAGCAGGUACGAAAGUAGGACUUAGUGAUCCGGUGGUAUAAAGUGGGAUUGCCAUCGCUCAACGGAUAAAAGCUACCCUGGGGAUAACAGGCUUAUCACUCCCAAGAGUUCACAUCGACGGAGUGGUUUGGCACCUCGAUGUCGGCUCAUCGCAUCCUGGAGCUGUAGCAGGUUCCAAGGGUUGGGCUGUUCGCCCAUUAAAGCGGUACGCGAGCUGGGUUCAGA
This 1531-nucleotide ribosomal RNA is filed under the name human gut metagenome. RNAcentral describes it as "bacterial LSU rRNA". It matches the Rfam family "Bacterial large subunit ribosomal RNA", at positions 1055 to 2615 of the family's 2925-position model. The record is from RNAcentral.